This 254-nucleotide ribosomal RNA is filed under the name uncultured bacterium. RNAcentral's name for it is "partial 16S ribosomal RNA". It matches the Rfam family "Bacterial small subunit ribosomal RNA", at positions 524 to 776 of the family's 1533-position model. The record is from RNAcentral.
UACGUAGGGUGCGAGCGUUGUCCGGAAUUAUUGGGCGUAAAGAGCUCGUAGGCGGUGUGUCACGUCGGCCGUGAAAACCUGCAGCUUAGCUGUGGGCGUGCGGUCGAUACGGGCAUCACUGGAGUUCGGCAGGGGAGACUGGAAUUCCUGGUGUAGCGGUGAAAUGCGCAGAUAUCAGGAGGAACACCGGUGGCGAAGGCGGGUCUCUGGGCCGAUACUGACGCUGAGGAGCGAAAGCGUGGGGAGCAAACAGG